This 416-nucleotide ribosomal RNA is filed under the name uncultured bacterium. RNAcentral describes it as "bacterial SSU rRNA". It matches the Rfam family "Bacterial small subunit ribosomal RNA", at positions 355 to 786 of the family's 1533-position model. The record is from RNAcentral.
UCGGGAAUAUUGCGCAAUGGAGGAAACUCUGACGCAGUGACGCCGCGUGCAGGAAGAAGGUUUUCGGAUUGUAAACUGCUUUAGACAGGGAAGAAAAAAUGACAGUACCUGUAGAAUAAGCUCCGGCUAACUACGUGCCAGCAGCCGCGGUAAUACGUAGGGAGCAAGCGUUAUCCGGAUUUAUUGGGUGUAAAGGGUGCGUAGACGGGAAGGCAAGUUGGUUGUGAAAUCCCUCGGCUUAACUGAGGAACUGCAACCAAAACUAUCUUUCUUGAGUGCUGGAGAGGAAAGUGGAAUUCCUAGUGUAGCGGUGAAAUGCGUAGAUAUUAGGAGGAACACCAGUGGCGAAGGCGACUUUCUGGACAGUAACUGACGUUGAGGCACGAAAGUGUGGGGAGCAAACAGGAUUAGAUACC